Molecule: ribosomal RNA, 940 nt
Filed under: uncultured crenarchaeote pBRKC82
Lineage: Archaea; Thermoproteati; Thermoproteota
Description: SSU rRNA
Rfam family: Archaeal small subunit ribosomal RNA
Source: RNAcentral
UUCGAGUGGUCCGGACGAAUAUUGGGUCUAAAGCGUUCGUAGCGGGACAAGUAGGUCCCUGGUUAAAUCCGACGUCACAAGCGUUGGGCUGCUGGGGAUACCGCUAGUCUUGAGAGCGGGAUAGGACAGGGGUAGUCUAUGGGCAGGGGUGAAAUCCAGUGAUCCAUAGGCGACCACCGAUGGCGAAGGCACCUGUCUGGAACGUAUCUAACCGUGAUGGACGAAAGCCAGGGGAGCGACCCGGAUUAGAUACCCGGUUAGUCCUGGCCGUAAACGAUGCCGACUAGGUGUUGCAGCGGCCAAGACCACUGCAGUGCCACAGCGAAGCGUUAAGUCGGCCACCUGGGGAGUACGAUCGCAAGAUUGAAACUUAAAGGAAUUGACGGGGGCGCACCACCAGGAGUGAAGCCUGCGGUUUAAUUGGAUUCAACGCCGAAAAACUCACCUAAACAGACGGCAGAAUGAAGCUCAAGUUAAUGACUUUAGCUAACUCGCCGAGAGGAAGUGCAUGGCCGUCGACAGUUCGUGCUGUGAAGUGUCUUGUUAAGUCAAGCAACGAACGAGAUCCACGUCCGCAAUUGCCAGCGGGUCCCUUUGGGAUGCCGGGAACCUUGCGGAGACUGCUUGGUGCUAAACCAGAGGAAGGAGUGGCAACGGCAGGUCAGUAUGCUCCGAUAGUUUAGGGCUACACGCGGGCUGCAAUGGUCGGUACAAUGGGCCGUGACCCGAAAGGGAAACCAAUCCCGAAAGCCGGUCUCAGUCAGGAUUGGGGUUUGCAAAUCAGCCCCAUGAAUAUGGAAUUCCUAGUAAACGUGUCAUUAAGACACGUUGAAUAAGUCCCCGCGCCUUGUACACACCGCCCGUUGUUGCAACCAACUGCAUGGUGGUUGAGGCGCUUGAUUUAAUGCGAGUGUCAAUACUGCUGUGUGCUAGGAGGCAA